ACGCUGGUGGUGAAAUUGGUAUACACGCUACCUUGAGGUGGUAGUGCCAUUACGGUGUGUGAGUUCGAGUCUCAUCCAGCGUA
RNAcentral lists this transfer RNA (83 nucleotides) under Proteiniphilum sp. RNAcentral describes it as "tRNA-Leu". It matches the Rfam family "tRNA". Rfam says of the family: Transfer RNA (tRNA) molecules are approximately 80 nucleotides in length. The record is from RNAcentral. Lineage: Bacteria; Pseudomonadati; Bacteroidota; Bacteroidia; Bacteroidales; Dysgonomonadaceae.